Molecule: long non-coding RNA, 23546 nt
Filed under: Medicago truncatula (barrel medic)
Lineage: Eukaryota; Viridiplantae; Streptophyta; Magnoliopsida; Fabales; Fabaceae
Description: long non-coding RNA (MTRU_LNC000785)
Source: RNAcentral
CUGCUGCAGAUAGUUAUAUUUACUCUUCUCCUCCACCACCUUACGAGUAUAAGUCGCCACCGCCACCAUCACCUUCACCACCACCUCCUUAUGUUUACAAAUCGCCACCUCCUCCAUCCCCAUCACCUCCACCACCUUAUGAGCACAAGGCUCCUGCUUAUGAGUACAAGUCACCACCACCACCAACUCCUUCACCACCACCUCCUUAUGUGUACAAGUCACCACCACCGCCAUCUCCUUCACCACCACCUCCUUAUGUGUACAAGUCACCACCACCACCCUCACCUUCCCCACCACCACCAUACUACUACAAGAGUCCUCCACCACCUUCUCCUUCACCUCCACCUCCUUACUACUACAAAUCUCCUCCACCACCCUCACCUUCCCCACCACCACCAUACUAUUACAAGUCUCCUCCACCACCAUCUCCCUCACCUCCACCACCAUAUUACUACAAGUCUCCCCCACCACCCUCACCCUCCCCUCCACCCCCAUAUAUACACAAGGAUCCACCAUACUAUUACAAGUCCCCACCACCACCUUCACCAUCUCCUCCACCACCAUACUACUACAAAUCUCCCCCACCCCCUUCACCGUCUCCUCCACCACCAUACUACUACAAAUCUCCUCCUCCUCCAUCUCCUAUUCCCAAAACACCUUACUACUACAAAUCUCCCCCACCCCCUUCACCAUCUCCUCCACCACCAUACUACUACAAAUCUCCCCCACCCCCUUCACCGUCUCCUCCACCACCAUACUACUAUAAAUCUCCCCCACCACCGUCACCCUCUCCACCACCACCUUACUAUUACAAGUCUCCUCCCCCACCUUCACCAUCUCCUCCACCACCAUACUACUACAAAUCUCCUCCUCCUCCAUCUCCUAUUCCCCAUACACCUUACUAUUACAAAUCUCCCCCACCACCUUCACCAUCUCCUCCACCACCAUACUACUACAAAUCUCCUCCUCCUCCAUCUCCUAUUCCCCGUACACCUUACUAUUACAAAUCUCCCCCACCACCUUCACCAUCUCCUCCACCACCAUACUACUACAAAUCCCCUCCUCAUCCAUCUCCCAUUCCCCAUACACCUUACUAUUACACAUCUCCCCCACCACCUUCACCGUCUCCUCCACCACCAUAUUACUACAAAUCUCCUCCCCCUCCGUCUCCUAUUCCCCACACACCUUACUACUACAAGUCCCCACCACCACCAAAGGUCCUUCCACCACCAUACUAUUACAAUUCUCCUCCUCCACCUGUUGUGUAUCCUCACCCAUAUCCCUACCACCACUCACUUAUUGUGAGGGUAGUCGGUAAAGUCUACAGCUUCAGAUGUUAUGAUUGGAAUUAUCCUGCAAAGUCUCAUAACAAGAAACAUCUCAAAGGUACAUUACAUUUCUUAGGACCGGACCUCUUUAGAGUAAUGUGUUUAGAGAUAAUGCACAAUUUUUUAUUUUUUUAUCUCGUAAAGGUUUAUUUAUUAUAAUCACAAUUUCACUUUUGUCAAAAAGAAAAACAAUUUUACUAUAUAUAGUUUUAAUCAUUAACAUUUUGAUGUAAAAAGAAUACAAUUCUCUAUUACCUUUUUACUAUGAUAUAUAUACAAAGAUUAUUCAAAUCUAUAUAUCCAACCUAAUUUCCAUCCAAAAAAAUAGAAAACAUAGGGUGCUUUGAACGCCUGCAGCAUCACAUGAAUAAAUAAAAACAAUCAAUAAUCAACCUUGUUCUAAUUUAUUUUAGACAGCGAUUGUUAAGCAUACUGCUCUUUUAAUUACAUUUUUUUUAAAGAUGCUCUUUUAAUUAUAUUGUCCUAAUAUAAUAUGUGUCUUUAUAUAUUACUUGUCGUAAACUAAUUUUAUUAUGGGUGCAGGAGCUGUUGUUGAGGUGACAUGCAAAGCCGGGAGCAAAAUUGUCAAGGCUUAUGGAAAAACUAAGAACAAUGGAAAGUAUGCCAUCACAGUUAAGGACUUUGACUAUGUCAAAUAUGGUUCGACAGUGUGCAAGGCUGCCCUAUAUGCUCCACCUAAGGGUUCACCCUUCAACAUACCUACAAAGCUAAAUCAAGGAACAAAGUUGUACUUGAAAUCCAAAGACAAGUACGAGGUUGUGCUCAAGGCUAAGCCAUUUGCUUAUGCUUCAAAGAAACAUUUCAAAGAAUGUGAGAAGCCUAAGCCUUCACCAACUCCUUACUACUACAAAUCACCUCCACCUCCCUCACCAGUUUACAAAUACAACUCACCACCUCCACCGGUCCAUUAUUAUUCACCUCCAUACACCUACAAGUCACCUCCUCCCCCUGUGAAAGCGGCACCAACUCCUUACUACUACAAAUCACCUCCACCACCCGCACCGGUUUACAAGUACAACUCACCCCCUCCACCGGUCCAUUAUUAUUCACCACCAUAUACCUAUAAGUCACCUCCUCCCCCUGUGAAAGCGGCACCAACUCCUUACUACUACAAAUCACCUCCACCUCCCGCACCGGUUUACAAGUACAACUCCCCACCUCCACCGGUCCAUUAUUAUUCACCUCCAUAUACCUACAAGUCACCUCCUCCCCCUGUGAAAGUGGCACCAACUCCUUACUACUACAAAUCACCUCCACCACCCGCACCGGUUUACAAGUACAACUCACCACCUCCACCGGUCCAUUAUUAUUCUCCACCAUACUACUACAAGUCACCACCCCCACCAUCUCCAUCACCUCCUCCACCAUACUAUUUCAAAUACUAUUACAAGUCCCCACCUCCACCAUCACCAUCCCCUCCUCCACCUUAUUAUUACAAAUCUCCUCCUCCACCAAAACAAAUUUCACACCCUCCAUACUACUAUAAGUCACCACCCCCACCAUCACCAUCACCUCCUCCACCAUACUAUUAUAAGUCUCCACCUCCACCAUCACCAUCUCCCCCACCACCUUAUUAUUAUAAGUCACCACCCCCACCAUCCCCGUCCCCUCCUCCACCAUACUACUACAAGUCUCCACCUCCACCUAAAGAAAUAUCACAUCCUCCAUAUAACUAUAAGUCACCACCCCCACCAUCACCAUCCCCUCCCCCUCCAUACUAUUACAAAUCUCCUCCACCACCAUCACCAUCACCACCACCUCCCUACUAUUACAAAUCACCUCCACCACCAUCACCAUCACCUCCCCCUCCAUACUAUUACAAAUCUCCUCCACCACCAUCACCAUCACCACCACCUCCUUACUAUUACAAAUCACCUCCACCACCAUCCCCAUCACCACCACCUCCAUACUACUACAAAAGUCCCCCUCCACCAUCUCCAUCUCCUCCAUCCCCAUAUUACUACAAAUCUCCACCACCACCAUCACCAUCCCCACCCCCUCCCUACUAUUACAAAUCACCUCCACCUCCCUCACCAUCACCGCCACCUCCUUACUAUUACAAAUCACCUCCACCUCCCUCACCAUCACCGCCACCUCCUUACUAUUACAAAUCUCCCCCACCUCCAUCUCCAUCUCCACCACCUCCUUACCACUAUCAAAGUCCUCCUCCACCAUCUCCCAUUUCUCAUCCUCCCUACUACUACAAAUCCCCUCCACCACCAUCGCCGUCUCCUCCACCUCCUUACCACUAUGUGAGUCCUCCCCCACCAGUAAAGUCACCUCCACCACCAACUUAUAUCUAUGCUUCACCACCACCACCUCACUACAACUAAGCUCAAAGAGCAGAAGCUCCGUUCAUUAUAAAUCAUGUAAGUUUAUCAUCUUCAAUUUUCUGAAUGUGUGCGUGUGUAUUUGUUUUUUUGUUACAAGAUACUAACAAAAUUCUUUUCUUAUUUAUGUUCAGGUUUUAGUUUUCAUCUAGGAAUAAAGGCAAGCUCCAUUUGGAGUAAAGUGAAACUUCUAGCUUCGUGUCCGAAUUCGUUAAAUAAAUGUCGGGAUGUAUCGUCUUUGAGCUAUAAUAUUUCUGAUCCAGACAAUAUCUAUUUUGUUUCUUUGGUGGCAAUCUUGCACUUCCUGGUCUUAGUCUAUUCAAGUGACAGACAAAUCAAAAGGGAGAAGCGAGAUUAAUUUAUUUGUGAUCUCUUUGAUUUAUUUGUGCAUAUAUCAAUAUGAACGUGUAUGAUAUUUUUCUAUUUAUUGAAGAUUUUUUUACUGUAACCUGUUAUUGUGUUUGUCAAAAGGUGUUAAUAAAGAAUCACAUUCAAUUUCUGUUAAAUUAUCAGUAUUUGUUUCUUUCUAACAACUACCAUUCAUGCAAAUGUGGCUAUUAAAAAAAGCUCCAAUGACACAUAAAAAGCUUCCAAACAAUAUAUAAACAAAGAUGCAUUGUUUUCUGUUAAGAAGGGGACAGGGUUACGGUUACUUGUGUACCAAGUUAGUUAUCCAUGCUUUCUUGUUCAUAGGAUUUAUAUGGUGUAGUUGCACUUAGUUGCUAAAUGUAUGCAAGCUUUUCCUUUCUAUAAAUAAGCACACCUACUAUCAUUCUUCUCCACAUUCCUUUCUACUCUUCUAUCAUGAAUUGUUCAUCCACAUAAGAUGGUCACAGAGCACACCUAAUACUCUGCUACUGGUGUAUCAGUUCCUUUCCACCAGAAACUUAUGAUCUCUAAUUGAAAGAGAUCCUAAAGUUUUAAGAUUUCUACAAAAUACAUUAUUCUCAUUUUUGUACAAGUAUGAUACAAUUAUUCCCAAGUAUUAUUUAUUCUAAGGAAUAGAAUUUAGUUGUGGUUUCUCUAUUUAACCAACAUUUAUUUUUAAAUAACUAAAUUUAAAAAAAAAAUCCUGAAAUUAUUAAGUACAUACCUAACACAUUGUAAAAUUUUGUUCCCAAAGAAAAUAUUUUUGGCAAUAGAAUUUUCAGGAACUUCAUUCCUAGGAAUAUAAUUCUAUACUAAGAGAAGAGCUUAAGCAUUGAUACAUAACAAGACCAAUCCAUAUCCUAAUCACAAUCCUACUUUCACUAAAUACUUUCACUUAAGUGUGGUCUUGGAAAGGACAAAUGAAGAAAGACAUUCCAGAGGUAUGGUAAGGGACAAUAUCUGCAGUUAUGCACAUAUUGCAAGAUUGUGAGGAACUACCGGACUGAUUUGAUUCACCAAAAAAUUUGGAAUAAAUAUUUCAGCCCAGAACUCAGACAAUGACUGGAUUGGAACCUUUCAGCUUCUAAUAUCGGUACUGUCCAAGGAAAUAGUCAUUCUCUUUUUGGAGUAGCUGUGAAGGAUUUAUGGAAAGAUAGAACUAAGCUGGUCUUUUCUAGAAACACCGCGAUUGGAACUACUCUAUUUUGGCUUGUAGCCAAUCCGGCUAAGUUUAUUAACAAUGUAGUUUGUACUCAAGCUCACAGUCACGAUGUUGUCAGCAACAGUGGGCAUAUUGUUUAGGUAGCCUGGAAUUUUCCUCCCCAACACUUCUUCAAAGUGAAUAUGAUGGAUCUCUACGGGAUUAUGUUAGUUUCCAGGAUCGAACUCAGAACCUCCUGAUUAUAACUCCUUCAAUGUAUGUCCCUUACCCACGUGGGGCCUCGGCUGUAAUUGUUAACAUGGUAAAAUUUGGCUCUUCCAAUAAUGGUUUUAUCCAAACUCGAGGUUGUUUAUCGUCUCCAACAAUCAGAUUGGAGAAUACUAGUGGUUCAUGCAUUUGAACAAACCAACUGUUGUGCAGAUUUUCUAGUUGAUUUUGUUUUUCCUUUUUUGAGUAUUUUAUUAGCCAAUGAUAUAAGAGGUUGUAGCCUACCUCUUUUGAUUUCUUAAGACAAUCACUUUUGCAUUAGAAAAAAACGACCCUACAUAAAAUUAAUGAUUGAAUUAAGAUAUAACUUCAGUUUGAAAUAUUGUAAAAUUCUAUACCACCAAAAACUGAGAAUUUUAGAACCAUACAGGUUGGUGGAGUGGUCAUCCAGAUAACUUUAACAUAAUUAACAGUCCAAAAAGUAAAUAGCUUUAUCCUUUAUUUUCAAUCUGAUGUGAUUUACUCUUAUCUGUUAAACAUUAUAAUUAAGAAUCCAAAGGGAACACUCACCUAAUCUCUCUCUUUUUUCUAGCUUUUUCACUAAACCACUGUGUCUGUGGUUACCACAUUUCCUUAUGGAAUCAAUAUCCAAUUUAUGUUAAAAACCAUUUCUACAUUUUGUGUUAAAAAUGAUCUAAACAAAGAUGAUUUAUUUCUCUUAAAUUCAACAUAGAUCAUAUUUACAUGGUUCAAACUUUCUAUUACACGGCAUUGACUUAGUUGCUUCACAUGGGGACACAACUAAUGCAUAUAUUAUUUUAUAUGCUUAUAGUAAUUUUAACAAGUGGCAAUGGGGCAUAUGUUUUGUCAAAAAAACACAAAAAACAGGAGGCAUGUGCAACUGAAGUCACUGCCAGCUUGGCACUAAGAUAUAGUAAAAUAAUUGACAUUUGAAGAAAACAAAGACGUUGCUACAUUUCUAUUCAAACAAGCGACAUCAAUAUCAGACAAUGGUGCUACAUUUAAUAAUACUACAGCUAUCCCCAUAAGCACCUCUUAGAAAGAAAAAAAAAUAUCCAUUAAAUUAAUGUUGGAAGAGUUAGCAACAUGUCCUCUCCCAAAAAAACUCAUGUUUGAUUCCUAGAGUCGUCCAUUUCGAAAGAAGCUCAACCCUGAUAAUAAAAACCUAGAUGUUAUGCUGCAGACUUAAAGAUCAAUUUCAUAAUGGAUCCAAAGGGCCUAAGCUGUGUGGGAUACUUAAGGGGGUAUAUUGAGGCUAAGGGUCAAAGAUCUUAAUUAUGGUCGGUUAAAAAAAGAAGAAAAAAAAAUUAUCUCUAAAUAUAAAGUCAACAAUAUUUCAAAUUGCAAGAUACAUUUAUUUAUUUUUUAAAUAUGUAUAUACCUCUUAUUAAUACUUACUAAUUUGUUUUGAGUGAUAAAAAGUUACGAGUUAGACAGAUCAGCACAUAAAAAAAGUAUUUGAAAAACAUCUACCAACAAAAUAAACACAUUAAAAACAAUACUACUUUUUUACAAUACUGUAUGUGAAAAUGACAAAAUCUUGAAAAAGAUGGAGGUAACAUGUACUCUUUUUUUUUUAGAGGGGAGCAUGUACUUUUCCACUAACAAUGUUGAUAAGAAACAUAUAAAAUACUAUUAGAGAAAGAAAAAAAAUAAUAAAUAAAGAAAUAUAUAAAAUACUGAGGAAUGACUCACUCAUGUCAAAUUUUAGCAAGGGAGAAGUGAUAUCACAUCAUUUUAGAAGAGGAAUGAGAAUAGAUAGAUCUAAUUUUUCUAGUAAGUUUGAAUAGUAGAAUCAUACUUCUUUGUCUUUUGUGAAAAUUUCAUAUUAUGGGAUCUAUUACUAGAAUACAGGUGAUUUUAUUCUGGAAGAUUGACUUUUUAUUAAAAUAAAAUAAAAGUACAUUUUUUAUUUCCAAAUGCUUAGUUGUUCAUUUAUAAAUAUUACAUUAUCCAACAGCACCAAACCCUAUUUCAUAACGGUACUCUGCACGUUUCAUUCAUUUACUGGUGCCUUAGUUUUUUGUUACAAACAGACAUUGAUCAGAGGAACAAAUGUAGAGACAAAUUGAAGAUAAUAUAUCACAUAAUAUUGUAGACACACCUUCACAUACAAAUGGGGUAAAGUCCCUCAUAGUAGUAUUAGAAAUAACACUUAGAGUAAAAUUUUGCUAAAUUUAACAUGAAAAUAAGUGUAAUGUAUUUUAUAGGCAGCUAUACAUAAUUAUUAAUUAGAACAAUUUUUUACACUGUCAAACAAAAAUUGAACAAUUUUUUACUAGCUUUAUGCUUUAUGAUGUUUUGAUUCCAUGUGCACAUUUCAAUUUUAGAACUAUUCCUUUCUAUGUUACUGAAAUAAUUCUAUCAUUAGGCAUUGACAUUUCCAUUAUGCGUGCACGUUAAAGUGUUUUCCCAAACAGAGAAAUAUUAAGAAAGGUUAAACUUUUGACUUAAAGACACAACUAAAAUAAGAUCCAAGGAAAACCCCAUUGAUUAUUUCUUGCACAAAAUUAAAAACCCCAUUGAUUAUUUCUUGCACAAAAUUAAAAUGCUAAUAAUUUUUCCUGGUCUAUAUUUUUCUCCUUCCGGGAAAUGGCAACAUCACAUGUUCAUCUCAUAAUUGAGAAAACACAUGUCUGGGAAAAUAUCUUAAAGAAAAGGCAGUAAAGUAAUAAAAAGUGCACCAAAUAGAGAUUAACUAGUACUCUUUGCAUGUCAACUAAGUGGUAUAAUUAUGUAUAUCACAUUCUUAAUAUUGAUUAUCUUGAUUGCACGAUAAGCCCCUCAAAUUGCUCAAUCGAUGAUUGCUUGAUAAGCCCAUCAAAUUGCCCAAUCGAUCGAAUCGUAACUUUCGAUAGACAUUUUUUUUAAGAAAACCCAAUUGGAUCAUAACUCCCCAUAGUCAUUUAUUUGAAAUUGUGAGCAAUUUGAUAACUUAUUGAGCAAUCACCAUUGAUUUUAGUCUCAAUUUAUCCUAAUGUUGUAACCCUGGAAUAAUGGAACAGUGAGUAAAUUUGGUUUCUCCGUCUCAAAAUAAGUGUCACAAUUUAACCAUGUGCACUACUCAUCAAAUCUACUUUGACAACAUUUUUUUUACUAAUAUAUAAAGACAAUGUUAGUACAUUACAUGUUCGAUUUGUCUUAGUUAAUGUUUUUAAAAUAUCGACUUUAUUAUAAUUUUUCUUAAUAGACAAUCAAAAAUAUCAAUUGUCAAAAUUGUGUAUUGAUAUGUAUGAAAAUCAAACUAUAACACUUACUUUGAGACGAAGAGAAUAACUAUUAAAAACUAAUGUUCAAAUAGAAAGAAAAGAAAACAAAGAUUCCAUACAAAGCUUGCAAAAUAGCUACAAUCAUAACCUAGAACAAAAAUCAUGACCACACACUAUAUCCAUUUUCCUUUUCCUAAAAAGCAAUUGAAGAUAAAAAAAAAAAAAAUAAUAAAUAAAAAAAAAAAAAAAAAAAAAAAAAANACCACCAUACUACUACAAAUCCCCACCUCCACCAUCGCCUUCUCCUCCACCACCAUACUACUACAAAUCCCCACCUCCACCAUCGCCUUCUCCUCCACCACCAUACUACUACAAAUCCCCACCUCCACCAUCGCCUUCUCCUCCACCACCAUACUACUACAAAUCCCCACCUCCACCAUCGCCUUCUCCUCCACCACCAUACUACUACAAAUCCCCACCUCCACCAUCGCCUUCUCCUCCACCACCAUACUACUACAAAUCCCCACCUCCACCAUCGCCUUCUCCUCCACCACCAUACUACUACAAAUCCCCACCUCCACCAUCGCCUUCUCCUCCACCACCAUACUACUACAAAUCCCCACCUCCACCAUCGCCUUCUCCUCCACCACCAUACUACUACAAAUCCCCACCUCCACCAUCGCCUUCUCCUCCACCACCAUACUACUACAAAUCCCCACCUCCACCAUCGCCUUCUCCUCCACCACCAUACUACUACAAAUCCCCACCUCCACCAUCGCCUUCUCCUCCACCACCAUACUACUACAAAUCCCCACCUCCACCAUCGCCUUCUCCUCCACCACCAUACUACUACAAAUCCCCACCUCCACCAUCGCCUUCUCCUCCACCACCAUACUACUACAAAUCCCCACCUCCACCAUCGCCUUCUCCUCCACCACCAUACUACUACAAAUCCCCACCUCCACCAUCGCCUUCUCCUCCACCACCAUACUACUACAAAUCCCCACCUCCACCAUCGCCUUCUCCUCCACCACCAUACUACUACAAAUCCCCACCUCCACCAUCGCCUUCUCCUCCACCACCAUACUACUACAAAUCCCCACCUCCACCAUCGCCUUCUCCUCCACCACCAUACUACUACAAAUCCCCACCUCCACCAUCGCCUUCUCCUCCACCACCAUACUACUACAAAUCCCCACCUCCACCAUCGCCUUCUCCUCCACCACCAUACUACUACAAAUCCCCACCUCCACCAUCGCCUUCUCCUCCACCACCAUACUACUACAAAUCCCCACCUCCACCAUCGCCUUCUCCUCCACCACCAUACUACUACAAAUCCCCACCUCCACCAUCGCCUUCUCCUCCACCACCAUACUACUACAAAUCCCCACCUCCACCAUCGCCUUCUCCUCCACCACCAUACUACUACAAAUCCCCACCUCCACCAUCGCCUUCUCCUCCACCACCAUACUACUACAAAUCCCCACCUCCACCAUCGCCUUCUCCUCCACCACCAUACUACUACAAAUCCCCACCUCCACCAUCGCCUUCUCCUCCACCACCAUACUACUACAAAUCCCCACCUCCACCAUCGCCUUCUCCUCCACCACCAUACUACUACAAAUCCCCACCUCCACCAUCGCCUUCUCCUCCCCCACCUUACUAUUACAAAUCCCCACCGCCACCUUCACCAUCUCCCCCACCACCCUACUACUAUAAAUCACCCCCACCACCUUCACCAUCUCCUCCACCACCAUACUACUACAAAUCACCCCCACCGCCAUAUGAACACAAGACUAAACCAUACUAUUACAAGUCUCCUCCACCACCAUAUGAACACAAGACUAAACCAUACUAUUACAAGUCCCCACCACCACCUUCACCAUCUCCUCCACCACCAUACUAUUACAAGUCCCCACCACCACCUUCACCGUCUCCACCCCCACCAUACUACUACAAAUCACCUCCUCCUCCAUCACCUAUUCCCCAUACACCUUACUACUACAAGUCCCCACCACCACCUAAGGUUCUUCCACCACCAUACUAUUACAACUCUCCUCCUCCACCUGUUGUGUAUCAUCACCCUCAUCCCUACCACCAUGCAUUGAUCGUGAAGGUAGUGGGUAACGUCUACAGCUUCAGAUGUUAUGACUGGGAGUAUCCUGAAAAGUCUCAUAACAAGAAACACCUCAAAGGUACAUCACAUUACAUUUCUCAAUUCUUUCAUUUUUAUAGAUUUUAUGUACAUCACUAUUGGCUCGUAGUUUCUCAAUACCAUUACAACUAAACUGCAAGUUUCAGUAAUGAGAUUCAUAUAGACAUGUUUUUAUUAACAUCUUUGUUUCUUAGAAAUUAUACAAACACUUAAUUUAGGUUUCUCCAUGUCCAAUAAAGUAAACAAUUGAUAUAUCAAAUUAACAUAUAUGAUAUAUCAUUUACCUCAUUAAAAUUUAAUAAUCCUGCCUAAUAUAAAGAUUCGGUUUGAAAAUGAUAGUUUAGUGAGCUUCUUUAUAAUAACACUCUCCAAUAUAUUAUGUUUUAAAAACAAUUAUAUUUCUAUUUGUCUAAAUUCAAAUUUGUUAUGGGACAGGUGCUGUUGUUGAAGUGACAUGCAAAGCCGGGAGCAAAAUCAUCAAGGCUUACGGUAAAACUAAGAUCAAUGGAAAGUAUGCCAUCACAGUUAAGGACUUUGACUAUGUCAAAUAUGGUUCAACAGUGUGCAAGGCUGCCCUUUAUGCUCCACCUAAGGGUUCACCCUUCAACAUACCUACAAAGCUAAACCAAGGAACAAACUUGUACUUGAAAUCCAAAGACAAGUACGAGGUUGUGCUCAAGGCUAAGCCAUUUGCUUAUGCUUCAAAGAAACAUUUCAAAGAAUGUGAGAAGUCCAAGCCUUCACCAACUCCUUACUACUACAAAUCACCUCCACCUCCCUCACCAGUUUACAAGUAUAACUCACCACCUCCACCCGUCCAUUAUUACUCACCUCCAUAUUACUACAAGUCACCUCCUCCCCCCGUGAAAGCGGCACCAACUCCUUACUACUACAAAUCACCUCCACCUCCCGCACCAGUUUACAAGUACAACUCCCCACCUCCGCCAGUCCAUUACUAUUCACCUCCAUACACCUAUAAGUCACCUCCUCCUCCUGUGAAAGCAGCACCAACUCCUUACUACUACAAAUCACCUCCACCUCCCGCACCGGUUUACAAGUACAACUCACCACCUCCACCGGUCCAUUAUUAUUCUCCACCAUACUACUACAAGUCACCACCCCCACCAUCUCCAUCACCUCCUCCACCAUACUAUUUCAAAUACUAUUACAAGUCCCCACCUCCACCAUCACCAUCCCCUCCUCCACCUUAUUAUUACAAAUCUCCUCCUCCACCAAAACAAAUUUCACACCCUCCAUACUACUAUAAGUCACCACCCCCACCAUCACCAUCACCUCCUCCACCAUACUAUUAUAAGUCUCCACCUCCACCAUCACCAUCUCCCCCACCACCUUAUUAUUAUAAGUCACCACCCCCACCAUCCCCGUCCCCUCCUCCACCAUACUACUACAAGUCUCCACCUCCACCUAAAGAAAUAUCACAUCCUCCAUAUAACUAUAAGUCACCACCCCCACCAUCACCAUCCCCUCCCCCUCCAUACUAUUACAAAUCUCCUCCACCACCAUCACCAUCACCACCACCUCCCUACUAUUACAAAUCACCUCCACCACCAUCACCAUCACCUCCCCCUCCAUACUAUUACAAAUCUCCUCCACCACCAUCACCAUCACCACCACCUCCUUACUAUUACAAAUCACCUCCACCACCAUCCCCAUCACCACCACCUCCAUACUACUACAAAAGUCCCCCUCCACCAUCUCCAUCUCCUCCAUCCCCAUAUUACUACAAAUCUCCACCACCACCAUCACCAUCCCCACCCCCUCCCUACUAUUACAAAUCACCUCCACCUCCCUCACCAUCACCGCCACCUCCUUACUAUUACAAAUCUCCCCCACCUCCAUCUCCAUCUCCACCACCUCCUUAUCACUAUCAAAGUCCUCCUCCCCCAUCUCCCAUUUCUCAUCCUCCCAACUACUACAAAUCCCCUCCACCACCAUCGCCAUCUCCUCCACCUCCAUACCAUUACGUGAGUCCUCCCCCACCAGUAAAGUCACCUCCACCACCAGCUUACAUCUAUGCUUCUCCACCACCACCAAUCUACAACUAGCCUCACAACACCAAAUCACCAUUGGUGAUAAAUUAUGUAAGUUUACCAUUAUUGCAAUCAUAACACUUGCAUCUUUUCCCACCCAUACACACACAUAUCACAUGUUUAAAUUUUAUGUACUAAUCAACAAAAACUCUUAUUUGUUUUCAGGUUCUAGUUUUCAUCAAGGAAUAAAGUCGUCCAUUUGGAGCAAAGUGAAACAACUAGCUCUCUGUCCAAAUUAUUUGAUGGCCAUCUUGCACUUCCUAAUCUUAUUGUGUUCAAGUGACUGGCUAAUCAAAAUGUGGAAGCGAGAUUAAUUUAUUUAUUAUCUCUUUGAUUUAUAUGUGCAUAGAUUGAUAUUUCCCUGUAUGAUAACUUUAUUUUUAUUGAGGAUUUUUUGUAUUGUACCCUGUUGUGUUUGUUAAAAUAAGUAUUAUCAAUGAAGAAUUACCUUCAAUUUCUUUCCACCUAAUUAGUUCUUGUUUCUUUUAAACAACUAUCAAGCAUGUCAGCAAGGCAAAGCAUACCACUACCACCAUAUCACCAUAAAAUGCAUCAUUAUUCAUUGCAUAUGAGAUAAAUAUAUGCAAACUAUAUCUAAUUAUUAAGAGGGGGAAAAAACUAAUGUACAGAAAAUGUACCUCAAGGCUUCAGGAUAGGUGUUAGAAACCCAAGCUUUUAAUAGCUCUCUCCAAGAAUCCUCGUUUCUACAACUUAAGUUCCUAUAUUAAUCAAUUAUAAUAUAUGAGAAACUUAUGUUGUCGACCAACAAUACAGGUGACUCAAAAAAAUAUUAUAUUUUAAAAGUCAAACCUUGAGCUAUACACAUGUAAGCAUCAUCAAUAUAAGUUUCACCAUUGUUCAUGUGUAUUAUUCCAUAAAUUUUGGCUCAGUUGAGGUUACUACACUGGUUUUCUUCCUAUUGUAUCAUAUAUUUAAAUACUAUGGUGCGUUUGGAUAAACAGCUUAUGUCACAAGCACUUAUCAUGAUAAGCGCUUUUGUAUAAACUUGCAUGAGUUAUUUUCAUAUCAAAAGAUAAACAAGAACAUUAAAUUGUUUUUGUAUAUUACUUAAGUUGUUUUCAUAAGCUAUGUUGAAGAACUAAUGAAAAUUAGCUGAAAAAAGCUUAUGCUGUUUUCAUGAAUUCUCCCUAACAGUCUCACAAUAUUUAUGUCAGUAUAUAAUCAAAUAAGUCAAUCCAAACAGGCCCCACGUCUUCUAUAUUAGACCAUAUGACAAUUUCUUUUCGGUUUAUUCUCAUUAAAAGUUAAAAAUGGUGUAUUUGAAUCCUAUAAUUCUUUGUCAUACAAGUGCAUUCAAAUACAAUUUGAAGCCAUGGUGAAAGUGUUUAAUUUGCAGAGCUCACCAACAUAAUCUAACGUAUAUUUGGAUUGACUUAUUUGAACUUAUCUACUAGCACAAAUACUUGUGAGAUUGUUUACGAAAGUUUAUGGAAAAAACUUACAACACACACAUAAGUUGUUUUCAGCUUAUUUCCAUAAACUCUUCAAAAUAGCUUAUGAAACAACUUAUAUGAUAAGAGCUUAUUCUAUAAGCGCUUAAUUAAGUUUUAAUCCAUUCUUCUUCUACCUUCAUCUUCAGUUAACAAAACGAAUACAAUUUCUGAAAAUUCAAAGUUCAAACACCAAAAAAUACCUAAAAUGAAAAAUUGUUGAAUGAAAGCGCAAAUAGAACCUGGCAAUGCGUUCGAGAAGCACGUGGAGGAGGUGGCGUGGCAGAAGAAUGUGUGGAUUUCAUCGGAGAAUUUCAGUUCUGCUCGCGCCAUUUAAGAAAUUUUGUAAACUUAAAGUUUAGUUUAAGUUUACCCCUCUUUUUUUUUCAUUUUAAAGGAGUUUACCCUACAAAUUUUUGUAUGUUUUUGCCACGUUUACAAAUGAUUUAAUAUGUUUUUAUCCUAUAUAUAUUUAGGGAUGUAAAUGGAUAUUAUGAUGCGGAUAGUGUAAUAUUUGUGUCUGUUCCAUUGGAUAAAUAUGAAAUCUGUACCAUAUUCAUAUCGUACGGAUAUCUGUUUAGCGGGUAAUCCACAGAUUUUGAGAUAUUUGAGUGUUUAUAGAUAUAUUCAUUGAUAACAUUUAUAAAAAUAAAAUAAAAAAUUUGUUUAAUUCUUUUUAGAGACAAAGGUUCUUCAUAUGCAUUUUCUUUUCUUUUUAACAAAACAUAAUAUUCAUACAUUAUAAUAACAACAAAGAUCAUUGACUCAACAAAAACAUAAAUAAAGUUGCUUACAUUUAAUAAAAAUAAAGUUAUUUGAUUUAACAAAAACAAAGCUCUUGCAUCAACAAUCCCAACCACUUUCACUUCCUUUUAAAAGAGUGUAAUAACAAAUAACACUCACAAUACAUAAGGUUUUUUUUUAGGAAGUUGAAUGAUAUUAAGGUUAUUUAUGUAAUUUACUCGGUUUAAUAGUCGGUAUGGAUAUCCACGGGUGUGGAUACCGUUAAAUCCGCAUCCAUAUCCAUUAAUUAGCAGGUAGUUAAAAAAUUCAUUUAUUUUAUCCAUUGAUAUCCAUUAAGGUAUCCGCUCCGUGCCCGUGACGGAUUAUAUCCGCGGAUAUUCACGGGUGCGAAUUUUUUUGUCAUCCCUAUAUAUAUAUAUUAGUCUUAAACUUGACUAUUUUUUAUUAUCAUUUGGUGCUAUAAUUAAAAAAAAAAAAAAAAUAUUGUUCGUCUGAGCCAUUUAGCUACAGGCUAUUACUUUUCUCAUUCUACAUGUUUCUCGCUUGUCCUAUUUUUUUUUUAAUACUUUUUGCUCGAAUUCUAAAAUCUAAACUCCUAUAGGGAUUUUUGGAUUCUAUAAUCCAAAACACGUUGAAACCCAAAAAUAAAAUAAAAAACUAUGUAAUUGAAAUCAAAGAUCUCUACUGCUAAUGCACGUUUUCCACAAAAACUACAAAGUAAUUUCAAAGUAAUUUCACAAAAACUAUCGUAUGAAUAGACAGCAAUGAGCAUGAUAUCAUAAAUAACUCAAAACUUUAUAAAAAUAAAAAUAAAAAAAUGAAUAAGAAGAUGUGAAGAAUGAAUGUAAACGUUGGAGGAUACAAAGCUAUUUAUAGACAUAAAAUGUUCCUAGACUCUAAAGUGGGUCAAAGAAAACAUGAAUAACAUUUACAACUUAAUUAACACAUCACAGAUCAUUCAAACCUUUGGUGUAACAUCAUCGUAUGUAGUCUGGCACAGUUUGGAUUAUACAAUCUGAACAUUUCAUAAGCAGUUUGGAUUAUAUAAUUUGAACUAUCCCAGACUGUGUUUCAGCUUGAUGUUUGGAGGGUUUUGUAUGGUGGAUAACACAAAAAAAUGACAUAAUUCAACAACGUAAAAAAUAUAAUAAGAUAAGUGAUGAUGAAAGGGAAGCCGCACCAAGAGGUGUUUUUGAAUUCGAUCCAGUUGUCCUAUCAACUGACAUAUAUUUCUAUUGGCAUGGCAGCAAGAUCAAGUUUCAAAACGACCUUUUUGUGUUCAUAUCCGCAAAAUAAUGAUGAAAGGCAAGGUAUUCCAAGAAGUGUUUUUUAACUUGAUCUCGCUACCUUGUCAACUAACAUAUUUCUAUAGACAGUGCAGCAAGAUCAAAUUUAUAACAACCUCUAGGUGUUCAUAUCCGCUAAGUAAUUUUUCGUAGUUCUUUAUUGUGAUCUACAAAAAAAAAAAAAAAAAAGAUCUAUUUAUAUAAGUUUAUGUGCGUCGCGAACCAGAUAAAUUUUCGAUGCAUUGUGGACCAAAAAAAAAUUCUAAUUCGGACUAAACAAGAUGAAUUUUCCUUCACCCUAGAAAGUAAAAGUUUUGACAAACACAAGACUGAUUAUACAUUAAAUACAACAAUCAGCCAAACUAAACAUAUUAGAUCACAAAUCUUUCAAACUAACUUCUUCAUUGGAUUCCUCCAAGAGAGCCUUGAUUUAUUUGUAUGUUCUAGGCCGAAUCAAUUUUUUUUAAUAUCUUUGAAAGGGCCCGACCAAGAAAACAUCCAACUCAAUUGGUCAUUUAAUACCGUACUGACCAAAUAUUAAAACAUUAUUCUCUUAUCGCAUUGUUCCUGAGUUUAAUCUAGGUAAACUAGAUGCUUUCAUCUUAGCCAAUCGAUGGACUUUGAUGCUCAACAUUGUCCAUCCUUCUUGUGUCUGUGUUGUUGAGUCGACGGUUGAUUUAGUCCAGCUAAUAUUGGACUUUCCCCCAUUGUAGUAAACUACAGUUAGUUUGGUGUCAGAUCAAUGAUUGAAGUGUUCAUGAUUAUUUGGUGUGGUUUAUAGCAAAUGAAAACAAGCACACCAAUUUAUAGAAGUUUAUGUGCGCCGCGGACUACAAUAACUAUUGGUGCAAUGAAGACCAUAGAAAAAGCAUGUACUUGGCUGAUUUGGAUUAUAUAAUUUACAUUGUCCCUCACCCUACAAAGUACAAAUUUCAACACAAUAUUGAACCAAUUCGGAUUAUAGAAUCCAAUCAUUUAUGAGAUAAUUUCGGAUUAUAUAAUUAAAACUAGUUCACAAUGUGAACCGCAGCUUGGUCAGCAAGACUAACUCAUUAAAAAUGUUUUUUAAGUUGGUGAACGACGCUUGACUGGUCAGCAAGACUUGAAAACAAUUUUCGUACCAUGCAUUAAUGGACCAUUACCCUCUAUGAAAUGUACUUCACAAAUUCUCCUUCCGAAUACCCACUAAUACAUCACAAAUUCUUAUUUCAUCUCACAUUCUCUCGUUCUUUUUACUUCUACAAUGUGCUUCCAUAGUUUGUGUUUCAUACAAAAAUGUUACUCUAAUAUUUUAUGGAUUGUAUGAAUGGUCAAAAGGCAAAAAUUGGCACCAUCUGUUUGGAUGUAAGGUUGAUCAUCAAAGUCUAAUCCACUAAGAGAGGAAACAAACCUUACCCCAACCUCAUUCCCCAUUCAUCUUCUUGCACCGCAUGUUUAAAUGAUACUCCCUCCGGUCCUAUUUAUAAGAGAAAGUUAGGUCAACAAAAGUUGAUGUAUCUGAACUGAAUUUUUAACCGGAUACAUCAACUUUUGUUGACCCAAAUUUCUCUUAUAAAUAGGACCGGAGGGAGUAUUUGUACAACCAUUUUGGUACAACUUUUGUACAACUUUCUCUCUCAUACUCACAUUAUGUUUUUAUUCUCUCUCUUACUUUUUUUCUCUCCAUUGUGGUUGACCAAUAAGAAGGGAGAAUAUCAAGGUUGUCACAAAAAUUGUAACAAAAGAGUUGUUCAAAUAUCAUUACUCUUAUCAUUAUGUGUUAAAUAAUUUUGUGUAAUAAGCUUCAAUGACAAUGUAAAUAUACAAUAAAAGAUAUAAAUUAUUCAUAAAAUGAAAAUUUUAUUCAUUUAUCUUUUUAUAUUUUUGUCUCUUUUAGUUUCAGUCAUUUUCAAUUAUGCAUUCUUAAUAUUAUGUCAAUGUUGAUCAAUAAUUAUUGGCAAAAGAAGUUUUCAUGUUAUAGAAUAUGAAAAUCCCUGGUACCAAAAAAAAAAAAAAUCUGAAAAUCCCUCUAUAGGAUUUCAGAUUUUAGAAUCCGACCAAAUGGUAUUUUGAAGAGAGAAAAAUAGUGUGUCUAAGUAACUCAUGUUGAGAAAAGUAAUAGCCUUAAUUAUGUCUCCGAUAAACAUUUUAUUCCCUUCCGUUAAUCAGUUAAUCCCAAAUGUCUAAGGUGAACCAAUAUUAUAGGUGGUCUACCAUAAACCUCAUAACAAUUUUAAGGUCAAAUACCACUUUUGGUCAUUUUAGUUUGACAGAAUUCUCAAGUUAGUCAUUUAAGUUUCGAAAGUUUCAAUUAGGUCCUUUUAGUUUGACAGAAUUCCCAAGUUAAUCCUUUAAGUCAUAAAAUUCAGGGGAGCAAAGUAGAUACUCCAGUUUUCAGAGGCGGAGACAUAGUCAUGUCAAAAGCAUCCCACAUCCUAUUACCACCUACUUGAACUCAUCAAGCUUGGUAUGGACCAUUCACAGUAACAUGUGUAUGUAGUCUCGUGGAGAUCUGGGACAAUAUCAAAUGGCAUGCUAAGGUGAAUCGACACAAACUGAAGCAUGUUAAAGAUUGCAUCCGGAAAAUGAAAGUUGAAGAAGAUGAACCUGCUUUGAAGAGGUUCAAGGGCACAACAUAGACUUAUUCUCCAUGUUCAAGAUGUAAAACACGCAUUGAACGAGAGACAACCCAUUAAUUUAUUUUCUCCGUUAUUUGUCUUGUGUCAUUUUUGCUCGAAUUUUUUGCCGUCAAUUCUUUAUGAAUUAUCAGUCAUAUUAUAUUACACACUAGACAAUUUUUUUGGUACCUUGAGCCUUUUCAAUCCGCCCUUAUCAUCAUUAUAUCCUUUGCUAAAUCCCUUUGAGCUUCCAUGCAUUAUUUCUUUUGUUUUUUUUAUUAAGUAACAAAUCAUGUCACAAGUUUGAACUUUUAAUGCCAUCUAUUUGAUUUCUUUUAUAGUUAGAUAGAAUAUUUUUAAGAACUUGGUAUGAUUUGAAUAUAUGUUAGGGUUAUAAGGGAGAAAUGUAAUGGCAAAGAGGAAGAGCAAGAAAAGAGAUGAAAGAUGAAGGGACAUUAGGCAGACUCAAUCACGGUAGUUAGAAUGAUUGCCUUCUGUUUUGCAGUAAUUUGCAUGAGCUUCACUUUUCAAGUAGAGUAAAAAAAACAGGAAUAGAUAGACACAUUUCUUCUAAGUUUGAGUAGUGAGUGAUAACACUUCUAUGUAAUCCCUAAAAAAAAACACUUCUAUGUAAAAAAAUCACAUGGGAAAUCCAUUCCUAUAGUACACGUAAUUUUGAUCUGGAAGGUUGACUUUUCAACAAAAUAACCUAAAAUAAUUUGUUCAUAACAUAAUAGAGGAAUCUAGAAGUGUUCGCGGUGCGGUUUGAUUCGGUUUUGAGCAAAAAAGUCAUCCAAACCGCGCGAUAAAAAAACAUGUGGUUUGGUUCGGUUGAUUUUUAAAAAAUCAUCCAAACCAAACCAAACUAAACCAAUACGGUUUGGAUUGGUUCGGUUUGUGCGGUUUAUCGCGAGAUAAAAAAAAAAUAUUACAUUAACUCUAAUAUUUCCAAAUUGUUACAAAAUAAACAUAGAACGUUUUUUUAUUUAUUUUUAUAUGAUAAAAUAUUAGGUAAAACUCAUAUCAAAAUAGGUAAAAUUAAGAAGAAUUUAUAAGCAUGAAACAAAUUAUUGGAAAGUAAAGGAAACAAAUUUAAGUAAUAUUCAUUAUUCUUGCAGCUAUGUAAUUGGGCUAGAAACAUUUUAUUUUGAUGUUUAUAUCGAACAUGAUGGUGCAACAAUGGAAAAAUCAAAUCAAAAAAGAUUAUUCUUGAGCUAUGUAAUUGAGCUAGUACAUAUUUAAGUAAUAUUCAUUAUUCUUGCGGUUUGGUUUGGUUUGAUUCGGUUGCUGAGAUGCAAACCGCAAAUCAAACCAAACUGUAUGUUUUAGUGCAAAAGUCAUCUGAAUUCAUCCGAAAUCAAGUACGAUUUUUUACGAUUUUGAAUUGGUUUAAUUUGCCGUUUUUCUAUUGGAUUGGUUCGGUUUGAACGAUCUGCAUGAAUUCUUCUAGUUGAUUGUUGGACUAUUUUUAAUUGGCAAAGGCUUAGUUGUCCAUUUAUAAAUAUAAAUACUAUUAUUACAUUAUCCAAUCCAAUAGCACCAAAACCAAUAUAAUAAUGGUAAUUUGCAAUUUUGCACGUUUCAUUCAUUUAUUGGUGCCUUAAUUUUGGGUUACAGACCGACAUUGAUCAGUUGCUAAAAAACCACUGCAUCCUUAUUUUUUACGAGGUAGAUGCAUCGGACAAAUAAACCGACAAACAAAGCUAUUCAGAAAGUGCUCAGAAAUUUUUUGUGCCCCAACAGAAAAUAUUAAGAAAGUCUUGCUACACAGUGUCUUGUAUACAAGUGAAAUAUGUGUGGUAUUAUGCACAAGUUUAUUUUUACAAGUUGAUAUAAGAAUCUAAGUAUAUUUUUAUGGAAAAUUAAUGCUAACAAAUACUUUCAAAGCAUUGUUUAAGCAAUCAAUAUUAGUAACUUUUGCAUAGAAAUAUGUGUGAUUAUUAUUUUUUCAUAUGUUUUAUAUGUUUUCAAGAAAAUAUUUUUAUUUAUGGUUUUUUUAAAUAGUGUCCUUAGGUACUUGUUAGCAAAAUCUUAUUUAUAUAAGUUGAUCUAAGAAUCUCAUUAUUGUAUCGAGUGAGAUACGGCCAUACCGAAGCUUAUGGAUUCCAUAGUGGAAAAAUAACUUUUCAUCAGUGCAAUACUAUUUUAGUUGUAGAAUUUCUUUUCUUGUGUGUCCUAUUUCAGAUUUUAAAAUCCAAACAAUCGAAGGUUUAUGAAGGUUUUUCGAACAUUUUCGCACUGUUUGAAUUAUAUGAUCUGAAAUGUCAUAGAACAUGCGAGAAGCAAGUUGAAUGAAAUAAAAAACUCCUGCUCAAUAGAAUUAUUUUACUUGGUUAUUGUUUGAAUUUUAUUCUCCUUCAAAGACGGCAAUGUGCAAUUGUGCAUUUCAUCCGGAGAGUGGCAACAUCUCAUGCAUGUUCAUCUCAUAUAACUGAGAAGUCACAUGGCUUGGAAAAUCUUAAACCGAGAAAAACAAAAGGAGUAAAAGUAAUAAUAGUGAACCAAAGUGAAGAUGAACUUGUAGUCUAUCAAAAGAAGAUGAACUUGUUCGUCUUGGCAUAGUAACUCAUUUUUAUUCCUUGUUACCUAUGAAACACGGACAAUAGAUACAACACGGACACCAAUACGUUAAUACCGUUAAUAAUAUAAAAAAAUAGGUACAUUGAAUAAUUAAUGUAUUUGACCUAUAAAUGUGACCAGAUAUAUUAAUUAUUCAAUGUAUCUAAAAAGUUGGUUUUUGUUUAUAAAUAUGAUCAUAUGGAGUACUACUUUAGUGUAAUUUUAUGUAUUGGUACUGCGAGACAUCUAAUCUAAAGAGUGUCAAUGUUUUCACACAUAUUACUCACCAAAGUGCACACAUUAUAUGCAUUUAGGUAAACUGAGUUCAUCCAAAAUUGUAACCGCACAAACAGAGGGCCGCUAGGAAAUAUGAGGUAAAUUUGGAUUAUUCUUUAUCAAAAGCUUAUGACCAAAGAAAAACUAUACAAAAACUAAUGUUCAAAAAGUACAUAAAGUAAUAAUGCAAAGUCAAUGUGUAUAUAUAUUUCACCAUUAAAUAAAAGGGGAAAAAAAUCUCCAUACACAGCUUGCAAUAGCUACCAUCAUGGCCUAAAGCAAAUAUCAUAUGACCACUAAAAAACAAUAGAAAAUAAACAAAUAAAAAGAGAAAAACAAAAGAGAAAAUGGUAUAAAGAAAUCAUGUAGUAGUUAGUUUUUUCUCAAGAUGGGCAACUCAGCAGGGCUGCUAGGAGGAAAUUACAAAAGAACAUGACACUUAACUUCUCUAAUCAUUCAAAAUUUGUCAAGAUGCUGAUUAUAUAUUUUAAUUAGUAGUUAGAGAUUGUUAUAGUAACGUGUUCUAGCCAUCAAGAAUAAAACAAUGUCAUGGAAAAGAAGUGGCCUACUAGAAGAAUUAAUUUAAAGCAUUUACACCAAAAUAAAAACAAAUUGAAUAUUGGAAUUGGUCCUUCAUGAUAGCUUCCCCUUAACAACUAACUCUAACUAUAAAUACUGAAUCUUGCAUGCAACAUUUCAUAGUAAACACUAAGACCAAAACCUCUUCUUUCUAUCCAUGACUGCUAGGGCUAGUUGCCCCAAAAUGGGGCAUUUUUGGCCACAAAUGGCAAUGGCAUUGGCCAUUGUUUUGAUUUCUACUACUAUGGUUUCUGCUUCUGAUAGCUACAUUUACUCUUCGCCUCCACCACCUUAUGAGUACAAGUCCCCACCACCGCCGUCUCCCUCACCACCUCCUCCUUAUGUGUAUAAGUCACCACCUCCCCCAUCCUCGUCACCCCCACCACCAUAUGAGCACAAGGCUCCAUCUUAUGAGUACAAGUCACCACCACCACCAACUUCUUCACCACCACCUCCUUAUGUAUACAAGUCACCACCACCACCAUCUCCUUCACCGUCACCUCCUUAUGUGUACAAGUCACCACCACCUCCAUCCCCAUCACCCCCACCUCCUUACGUGUACAAGUCACCACCACCACCCUCGCCUUCCCCGCCCCCACCAUACUAUUACAAGUCUCCUCCACCACCCUCGCCUUCCCCACCGCCACCAUACUAUUACAAGAGUCCUCCACCACCCUCUCCUUCACCUCCACCUCCUUACUACUAUAAAUCGCCUCCACCACCCUCACCUUCCCCUCCCCCACCAUACUAUUACAAGUCUCCUCCACCACCAUCUCCCUCACCACCUCCUCCAUAUUACUACAAGUCUCCCACACCACCUUCACCCUCCUCUCCACCCCCAUAUAUACACAAGGAUCCACCAUACUAUUACAAGUCCCCACCACCCCCUUCACCAUCUCCUCCACCACCAUACUACUAUAAAUCUCCCCCACCACCCUCACCCUCUCCACCCCCACCUUACUAUUACAAGUCUCCUCCACCACCUUCACCAUCUCCUCCACCACCAUACUAUUACAAAUCUCCUCCUCCUCCAUCUCCUAUUCCCCAUACACCUUACUAUUACAAAUCUCCCCCACCACCUUCACCAUCUCCUCCACCACCAUACUAUUACAAAUCUCCUCCUCCUCCAUCUCCUAUUCCCCGUACACCUUACUAUUACAAAUCUCCCCCACCACCUUCACCAUCUCCUCCACCACCAUAC